GGCUGGUCCGAUGGUAGUGGGUUAUUAGAACUUAUUAACAUUAGUGUCACUAAAGUUGGUAUACAGCCCCCGCUCACUGCUACAGUUGACUGGCAUACA
RNAcentral lists this Y RNA (99 nucleotides) under Prolemur simus (greater bamboo lemur). RNAcentral's name for it is "Y RNA (ENSPSMG00000025496.1)". It matches the Rfam family "Y RNA". Rfam says of the family: Y RNAs are components of the Ro ribonucleoprotein particle (Ro RNP), in association with Ro60 and La proteins. The record is from RNAcentral. Lineage: Eukaryota; Metazoa; Chordata; Mammalia; Primates; Lemuridae.